CUUCCCCCUCCCCUGUGAUACAAAGCACCAUGAAUGUCAACAACUGGAAAGUUGCUUAAAAUCACUUAAAAAAAAAAAAAAUUCUCAGCAUUCUCCCGAUCAGUUCAUCACAGCCCGUGUUCAUGAAGACUGUUGUUAAAUGCAACCCUGCAGCGGGGAGUGAGGUAUUUUUAGACCCAACAGAGCAUACGUCUGGGUAAAAACACCAGCACAGGCACUGUGUAAGGCAGAUGGUCACCAUCCCAGCAUGGGAUGAUUCUGCCUUUAGGAUUAAGAUCCCAGGAAGCACCCAUAUCGCCUCUGCUGAUCUGGGAAUGGCGGAUGCCACAGCUCAGACCAGGCGAGGGAAGCUGAGGCUCUGCUCCAUCUCCCUGGGGUUGCUGAGCCCCAAAGAGGCUGCCCGCAGUGAUCCUGAGAUGUUCUGUGAGAUACCUGAAAUAGCAGUAAGUACUUCUGCUAUUUUUCAGUACCUCACAUUUGCUGAGUACUGAACAACAUGGCUGAUGUGAUGUUAUCUGCCUAGAUUCAGUAGACUUAUGACAAGCCAGCAUCUAACCCCGGGUUGUGAGCUGUUUUAUAUAGUCAUUAAACAGAGGCAGAUAUUCCAAGGAAGUAGUGGACUUUCUGACUGAGGGCAGAGCAGAUACAUGACUGUUGAGCUGCCUUCCUGUUUCUCACAACUAUAGAGUUUGGGUAAUCAGGCUAGACUGGACAGCAACUUUGAUCUUGACCAGUCUGUCAAUAUGUCAGCAUCCUGAUGUCCUACGUAUGUUACAUGGAAUCAGGAUAAUAGCAGAAGUAGUCUUGGAGUCCACUGGUAAAGAUGAUAAGGUAUGUUUGGAUGCAGGAAUACCAGGCUGUUGUCCUGGCUGGGGAACUCCUUCGAAAUCCAUCCCUAUCUUCUCUCUGCUGGUAGCAUCUCACCACAGACCCUUCAUACCUUCCCCCUGAAAAAAAAUCUUUACCUCUCUGAAUCUGUUACAGAACAAGGACCAUAGUCUAUUACAUUCCUUAUUCUUUCUCAUGCUGCUGAGUAGAACUUCUGCAGAGAAGGUGUCAAGUAUCCAACAUAGCUAAAUAAGCCAACCAGUAAAACUACCAGUUUUGCAGGUACGUUUAUGAGGUCCUUCCAAUUUCAAGAUAGAUUUUGAUUUCUCUGCAUAGUGGAGAGUGAGCAGCAGAUCCAGUCAGUAGACAAAAGGUCACCAGCAUGUGAAAUUCUUUGGAGGCUGUUUUGUCCACAUAAAAAAAAAAAAAAAAAUCCUUGGCUUGCAAUCACCAAGAUGUAAGUUAAUUCCCCUUGAACAUGUAAAAGGGUUAUUAAGCUUGGGUGUGAUCUAUCUCUGAAGGGACAGGCACAUAGAAUUCAGGCAUUGUGAUAAGAAUCUGGCCCUUAAUCCUUUGCAAAAACCAGUGUCUAGUAGAAAUAAUUCAGGAAAACACUGUGUCAGUCUGCUUCACUGUCAUCUUGGUAACUACCUUUGAUCCUUAAAUAUACAAGCCAGCAAGAAAACAUUGCCUCCGCUUCUUCCUCUCAUAAAAUGUUUGGAUAUAAUGUUGGUAGCAACUUUACUGUGUCUGACACCUCAUUUUCUAAACUGCUGUCAAGCUAUUCAAAAGCACACGGUUGUAAGUAAAUAAAAUUUGUGAUCCACAAGUGUAUUUCACAAGUACAUUUUGUGCACUUCGUCUGCAUGUAAAUUAUGAACAUUACAGUGCUGAUAGAAGCAUGCACUGUCAUCCUUCUGUGACAAUAUUAACUAUAAUAAAUACAUUCAUAGCUGCUGACAGUUCCUCUUUCAGCAUUUGUGGAGUAACUUUAAGACUUAAAGUUUUAGAAGCAAUAUCUUCAGAAGUUGCCACAAUGUUCUGUAGCACUUUUAAAGCAAUUUUCAUUUAAUUUCAUGGCAGGAAUUAGAGGAAACCAAAGUGAACAGGUAUUCAUUAGAUCUGAGAAUAAAAUUUCCUCUGACAUAUCAGGUGGGUUCUUUACAUAAGAUGGCUUCUAUUUAAGGCAUACGUGGUAAGAAUCAUAGUAGUUUACAAAAUAAGAAGUAGGCUUUGCUUAAACUGUAGUCGCACAUGAAAUCAGCACUUUAAAAACAUCUUGAAAAUCAUAUUUCAUUUAAUGCAACAUAAUAGGGAAUCUGUGCAGAGGGUCAAAGUAAUUAUUAACUUGCCAUAUUUCUAUGAGACAAAUAACCUACUUUCUCCUGUACCUGUUCAGUGUAAAGUUCAUAAACGGCCCAAGAGGAAAAAAAAAGAAAAACAUAAAUGUCAUCCCUGCCUAUAUAAUGCAAGUCAGGAGGAAGAUACCAAGGGAAAGAAUGAAUUUUUGAAAAGAUCGGAAAGUAGCAAAUGAAGAAUUUAAAAUACUCUUCUUAGGUUUCAACAACUAUAACAACUUCAUUUAGAAAAUCAGUUCCUUUUGCUAAAUGAUAGUGAUGCACUGUAUUGUGAAUAUGAUCUGUAGAGACCAAACAUUUAAUUGGAACUAAAUCACAGCUAUUGCAAAAUAUGUAAAUAGAUGGAUACAUGCUUUGCAUUAAUAUAGAAAGUGCAUUUUAACAUCAACAAUCUUAAAGUAUAAAUAAAUUGUCAUGUUAAAAAAGAAAUACAAAUCUUAUUCUCUUAUAUCUCUGAUUCCUACUAGCACUUUUAGUUUAUAAAGACAUUGUUAAUUUCUUUAGAGUAGUACGGAUGUUUUCAUAUAUUAUAACUCCCAAAUUCAUAAGUUUAUUGUGCGCCUCAUUUGCAGUAGUCUUCUCUCUUUCAUUUUUUACAACUAAGAAUAAUGUUAUGCACAUUUUCACCAUUUCAGCCACUUAUUUUAUAGAUGAAUAUUGCCAACCAAGACAGAGAUAUUUUUGUCUUUUUUCCCCCCCAGUUUUUAACCAAAUUCUCUCCAAGGCUAUGGGGAUUUUGAUCAUACACAAUCUUUGUCAAUGUGUAAGGGUUGGAUUUUUAAGAAUUAAAGACCUUUUUUUGAAAGUUGACAUUUUCUUGAAUGUCCAUUAGUCUCUUUUUGACUUAUAUUUGUUCUUCAAAGUUUUUUUUGAAACAAAAAAUAGUUAAUACUUGAGAAUAAGUUUUGGAGAACAUCUAUCUUUUUUGCCAGGCCUGUCUCCCUUUUACCAGACAGUGUCUUUGUCAUAAAUAGAAUAGUAAUUAGGGGUUUUGUUUGUCUUCUCCUACAUGAGUUUAUUUUUUUUAAGCUGCCAGACUGAUCUACAGUAUUAUUAAAUUCUUCAAUCUACCCAGCUAAUGCUUCCCUUUAUUUUAUUUUUAAUAGGAAAGUGAGGUAACAUCUGCUAUCACAUGAAACCAUUCUUCUCUGAUUAUAGGUUUUCCACUAAUGUUAAAUGUGAUUCUGGUUUGGUAUGUUGGACCCUCCAGUUCCAGGCACAAAGCUCCUAAUAUCUUCCCAAAAUCCAAACAAAUAAAAGCACUGAAGCACUACAGGCCUUAUAAGUAUCUGAGUGGAUGAUCUGGAGAUGGAGGGUUUUACUUCCUUGCAAUGUGCCACAGCUCAGCCCCAAAUCAUUGUGUGAAAUAUCAGGGUCAGUGAAAUUGAAUGGCAUCAGGUUGGCUUUAGGUAACAGAAAUAUUUUGUUGUUCAGAUUUUUAGUUUACGCUUCCUGUGAGUUUGGGCUUUUGCUGUUAUUUGCUAUUUCAAGAUGUGUAGAUAUACAUUUGUACACCUGUAGAUGUACGCAGUUACUCUGUUCUGUUCCUUUGCCUAAUUUACAAGUACAGAAUCAAUUUCAUCCAUCUGUAGUUUUAGAAUCAGCAGCUGGCUUUUUUGUGUGAUCCCAAUAUAUAGGUUUCCCAGAAGAAUGUAUUAGUAGAUAUUUCUAAACGUGGCUGUGAUCCCAUCCUUCUUCUGUAUUCACAUGUGUAAGCUAGGCUCAUUAGGGAUGGACUGAAAAUCUCUCUGUGAGUUAUUAUUUUUAUUUUUAAUUUUCCAAACACCUGAGCAAGCAGAUCUUUCAGGUAUUUGUAGCUCAUGUUGUAGCAUUUAGCCCAAGAUUGCAAAACACGGAGCUGAGCAUUGCUUAUUUGAACUGACAUUAACACUUGUUAAAGAGGUUUUCUUGAAAGCCGAAGUCAGCAUUGCAGUCAAAAGCCAAAUCUACAAACUGUAUGUUAUCACUGCUUAAAUAUAGAGAGAGACAUUACCAAUGGUAGAUAUUUAACAACAAACCUUGCUCUUACCAAGUCAUACUGUGUACUAAGUCUAUAUAGUGUAUUUCUAAAUGGCAUCGUGUUUUAAGAAAUGAAAUGGGUCAGUUUUGUAUUACAAGAUGCUCAUGCUGUGGAGCCUCAUUAGUAGCCUCACUGAACUAAUAUGGGGACAGCUUGCUGUGGAUUGCUCCAUUUUGCUAAUGGCAUCAAAAUGAAGCUUAGCCCCUACCUCUGCUAUGGAAACAAUGACUGAAAAAGGGCCCAGGCUGUAAUUAAGACAUCCUCUUCUUCCCAAAAUGAGGUGGAGCAGGAAAGGAAAGACAUAGUUCAUAACUCUGCCUCUAUGACACCAACAAGCAGAGCUUCGUCUUCCAGAAGGCAUCUUGGUGCAGUCAACAAGUACCAGCUGUGUCACCGCGGUCUCUGCAUGAGCAAACAAUUACAGGACAGAGCCACACCUGGAUUUGUGCCUGCAAGUGAGGCUGCUCAGACAGACCACAUGACUGAUCCAACAAAGAUGGCUUCACACCACAAAUGGAAGAGCUUUAUUAUUCAGCAGAUUCAAAGCACUGCCAAAGAAUUUUGAAGGCUACACCCCUACUAGAGAUGAAGAUUGUUCAGAGUACCUAUUUUUUCUUCACAACAGAAUACUGUAUGCAGAAUCCAGUAUAGUGAAGCAGUGAAAUCUUAUUUGUGUGAGUUCUUCCUACAGAAAUACACAAGUAAAUAACCCCCAAGAGGAUCUUAUUCUUUUAUUCUUCUAUUCUUUAAUUCUUUGCUUUGGGGGAGUUAUUGGAUUUACUGAAUAAUCAAUUAAGAAUUAGUUUACUUUUAGUAUUAAAAAGGUUAUUUAAAUCUUCUUUGUGAAGAAUUUAUUCAAUAAACUCUAUUGUUUUACAACUUUCAGAUUUUCCACUACAGAGAUCAGAUUUUUGAUAACUUGAUGGAUUAUUAAAAAUUACUUCACUGGAGAAGGGAAGGCUGAGAGAAGACUUCAUUGCAACCUCCCAGUAUUUAAAAGCUGUUGGAAGUGAUGGUGGGGCUGCUGCGCAGCAGCUCAUGGCAUAUGAACAUGGCAAAGACUUGGGUACCAGACCAGCCAACUGUCCAGGUCUCUGGGCACAUCUGCAGAGGUGUGGUGGGUCUGAGGCCAAGCAGGAAGCAAGAUCAGUGGAUCGGGAUCAUGCCUGAUAGCAGCUAAGGACAGCCACCAUCUGCUGGUCUUACCAGGAAAUCAUGAUCUGAAUGGAUGAGCAGCCAGAGCAGUGAAGAACUGUUUGGAUGACUAGUUUGAGAGUGUAGUCCUCUGUGGAAGCUGGCAACUGUCAGGAUCUGUGCUGGGACCUGUCCCACUUUACAACUUUACCAGUGACCUGGAAGGGAUUAUGCACUCGCAGAAAUUUGUCAGAUGCUACCAAACUGGAAGUGACCAGCAGAUGAGCUGGAAGGCAAUGCUCCAUUCAUCAGACACCUAGACACGUUGCGAAAAUGUGCUUAUGGGAACUUCAUUAAACUCAAUGAGAACAAAUGCAAACUCCUGACCCUAAAAAGGAAGACUCCCUGGCAGUGAUAGAGACUGGGAAGCAGCAGUUCCAGGGAGAAGGCUCUGCGGGACAGUGAUAUGAACGCUUGUAGCAGGGAAGCCAGAAAAUCCAGAUCAGUGUUAACAGGAGCUCAGUAGGUCAAGAGAAGUGAUUAUCCCCAGCUUUACUUAGCACUCGUUAGAUCACAUCUAAACACUGCGUGCAGUUUUGGGCUCCCCUGUACAGGAAGGACAUUGUUAAUCUGAGAUGAAAUCAGUGGAAGGCCACCAAGAUGUCUAAGGCUGAAGCACUUUCCAAAUGGAGAAAGGUUGAGGGAGCAAGUCUUGUUCAGCCUGGAGAACAGACAGUUUCCAGGGCACCAACGGCAGACCCCAGUGCCUAUAGGGAGGUGAACAAGGAGAUACAGCCAGGCCCCUUACAGCAGUGCAUGGGGAUUUUUGAGACAGUGGCACAAACUGGAACAAAGUAGAUCAGACUGGAUAUAAGGAAGAGUUUUUCCCUAUGAGGCAGUAGAACAGGUUGCCAAGAGAGGUUGCAGUCUUUCCAUCCUCGAUGACCUUCAUCAAAGGAGUUGGACUAGAUGACUUUUAAGGGUCCCUUCCAACUCAAAUGAUUCUGUGAUUCAUGACCUGGCUGGACAAAGCCCUGAUGAACCUGUUUUGACCUCAGUGAGCAAGAUGUUGGAAUGGAGAUUUACUGAGGUCCCUCCUAGCCUGAAGUAUCCUGUGUGUUUAUGACCUAUAUAUUAUGAUCUUAGUCACCUUGGGCUCCCUUUAUGAUUAACAACAUUUCUAGAAUGUGAUUAAUUUGACCUAAUUAUAAGAGGAAUGUUGUCGUACAACUGCCUGUUUCUUCACUAUGAAGAUAGUACAGACAGUUCAGAUCUAACUAUCAAUAUAUGAAGUACUAAAAUUAGGUCAGAUUUUCCACCAAAAUAUGAGGAAGCGCUUUACUGUGUGAGUGUUGGGACACUGGCACAGGUUGCCCGGGGAGUUUGUGGCGUCUCUUCCUUGGAGAUCUUCGGAAGCUGCCUGCAUAUAGAAUCAUAGAAUGAGAAUCAUGUGAUCCUGGGCAGCCUGCUCUAGUUGUCCCUACUUUAGCAGGCGUUGGACCAGAAGGACCCAGAAGUCCCUGCCAGCCUCAGCCAUUCUUUGACUCUCAUUUGGUGGAUCCUACCCUAAGCGUCUGUUCCCAGCUCUCUGAAGCUAGAUAUGAGAGAGGAAGAAAGAAGAUAUUUCUGUGUAGUGCCAUAGCAGCUAUAGCAUUUUCCCAAAAAGAAAGUUAUCUGAAAUAUGGACUCCUCCAAUUUUUAUUUUUUAAUCUGAAACCGCAUUGCUACAAAACUAAUACAUAUCCAUAGUAUGGAUUUCUGCA
This is a long non-coding RNA of Gallus gallus (chicken), 7103 nucleotides long. RefSeq lists it as uncharacterized. The transcript is spliced from 4 exons. NCBI's taxonomy places the organism in Eukaryota, Metazoa, Chordata, Aves, Galliformes, Phasianidae. The record is from RefSeq and is a predicted model, not a curated record.